UACAGGGGGUGCAAACUUUGCUCGGAAUCAUUGGGCGUAAAGCGCACGUAGGCGGUUCGUUAUGUCGGAUGUGAAAGCCCUUGGCUUAACCGAGGAAGUGCAUCCGAAACUGGCGAGCUAGAGUACGAAAGAGGAUCGCGGAAUUCCCGGUGUAGAGGUGAAAUUCGUAGAUAUCGGGAGGAACACCGGUGGCGAAGGCGGCGAUCUGGGUCGAUACUGACGCUGAGGUGCGAAAGCGUGGGGAGCAAACAGG
Molecule: ribosomal RNA, 253 nt
Filed under: uncultured bacterium
Lineage: Bacteria
Description: partial 16S ribosomal RNA
Rfam family: Bacterial small subunit ribosomal RNA
Source: RNAcentral